This 23575-nucleotide long non-coding RNA is filed under the name Salvia miltiorrhiza (redroot sage). RNAcentral describes it as "long non-coding RNA (SMIL_LNC008508)". The record is from RNAcentral. Lineage: Eukaryota; Viridiplantae; Streptophyta; Magnoliopsida; Lamiales; Lamiaceae.
AGUUCAAACCGAGUUGGAAUUUAAAUUAUUUUAGUCAGACUCAGCUCGGGCCCAUUGCUUAAGCGGGCCCACUAAAACCCCACAACUGGUACAGUCGGCACAUUACCGCCAAAACACAUGAAUCAGUGACAAUUCUCUCUCUUGCCAAUUGCCAAUUGCCAAUUGCCAUAACGGCCAAAGACAUCUCUCAUUUCCUUAACAAUAAUAUCUCAUUGGCUUAAACACCAUCUUUUCUAGUGAUUUUAACUGCCUCGUUUGAUAGGGGAUAUAAGCCCUAUAUUGCUUCUUUAUCUCUCCUAAUUGAGUGUUUGAUAGGAUUGCUUAAUAGUGGCCUUGGCCCGUAGAAAAGCCAAGGCCCGCAGCUAAUUCACUAUUCCUCUUAGAAAUUGGAACCCGCCUCCCCCAAGUUACAUUAUACUGAUUUGAACAGUAACAAGUAUUAAUUUAUGGUUGACAAAUUUAUCCCCCUCAGCCUUGAAACGAAAAAAUGUGAAGAAACGGAGGAGAGAAGAAUCGAGAGGAUAGCGACUCCGGUGAAAAACCAAUGGUCGACAGCGACCUUACUCGUCGGAUUUCGGAUUAGGGGGCAGCGAAGCAUCUGUUUUGUGAGCGGAGUUUCAGUGAAGUGGGAUGAACAGAAAGAGAGAGAACCGAUGAAGCGUUGGCUUCGCCGGACUAUAGGGCGGCGACCUCCCCGAUUUUGAGAAAGAAAGAAGGGGCUAUUCCUUGUGAAGAAACUAGGGCUCGAUUCCUUGAGCCUGUGUAUUUUGAAAUAAGGGAUGAUAGAGAAAGAUUGAGAGAGACGUGGGGCUGGAGCCAGAGGCGACGAUUCACCGGUCCCUCAACAGCGUCGCCGGCGACCUCGCCUGGACCGGAUCAGAAGAUGGGGGCUCGUCCCUUUUCAGGUUGUGUUAUAGAAGAAGAAGAAGAAGAAGAAGAAGAAGAAGAAGAAGAAGAAGAAGAAGAAGAAAAAGUGGAUGGGGGCGGCUGGGAGGUUGUGGGAGGGGUGGGAGGUUUCUGUGAAUAAAGAAAAGGGUGGGGGUAGGGGUUGGGACACGUUUUUUACUUUGAGGGGAGGGGUGGGACACGUGCUGAUCAUUGUUGGUUUUUUUUUUUAAUUUAUUUAUUUAAAUAUAAGGUUAAAAUUGUAAUUUCCUCUUUAAUCUAUAAUUGUAUUUUUUGUAUCAAACAAUAAUAUUAGUUAUCUUAGUAUUUAUAUCUUAUUUAUCAAACAACUAUAAAAUAUUAACAAUCUCACCUAAUCUAUAUUAUUUAUCUAGAUUUUAUUUAUCAUUCAUUAUCUCAAAUUGUGUAUCAAACAUAGUAUAUAAUUUUUGGUACAUAUUUAUGGAAUAUCAAUAGUAACAUUGAGUCCUAAUACUAAUAAUUUUAUUAAUUUAUUUUUGGCUUGUCACGAUUAUGAUGACAAUAAAGUAGAAAAUUUUCAAUUUGCCCACUGUUUUUAUGUAAAUUUUUUCGAUAAACUGAAUUUAGUGCCUUCUCAUUUUUCUUGAACGGCAUUGAUAUUUAAUUCUAGAUAGAAAACUCUUGAUGUUUGUGUAAAUACCUAUUUCUUGAUCAGAUAGGUUUGGUUUGCUUUCCUCCUUUUAGUUCUUUUGACGAUGAUGGCAAUGCAAAAAUCGUAGCUUUUCCGGAAUAUGGAGAAAAUAUGAGAUUGCAUGGUGAAAAGAAAAUAUGAGAUUGCAUGGUGAAAAGGGCAAUUAUGGGAAGUAUUCUGGGUGGGUUUGUAUUGCCAUUGCUUCUUUUGUCAGGUACUGAAUCAAAUUUUCUGUGUUUAUUACACCAGAAAAUGUAUUAUUGUGGUGAUUCCUAGGAUUCACGCAAGAUUCACGCAUGAUUGUUUAAGAAUUAUAAUCACACCCUUGAAGGUUGAAGAGAAAGAGAGUGGGCAAUUUUGUGCUUGAAUGCAUGUUUGUGGAGAUGAAAUCGUAUUGUCCCUGUUCUUUCUUUGAUUCUUUGAACUUUUUAUGAUAAAUUAGGGAUUUAAUAUAAAUUGGGAUUAAGUUAUAAAGAGUAGAUAUUGGAAAUGAUGUAGCAUUCCUCAAAAUAUAACUUGAAUAUCAAUUUGAACGUUGCUCUGCAUGAUUUCACCUUUUUAUGCAUUUAUAAAGUUUUGUAGUUUGAUUCUAUUCUUAUUAUGACCUUUGUGGUUUUUGCAGCUGGGUUACUGAAUUGGAGCUUGAUUUCUUUCAUUAAUUUGACGACUUCUCUUGUUCUGCGGUUUACUGCCCCAAAAAGAGGUAGAGCUUUGGCUUUUGGACUUUUGAAUAAGGCUACUUCAUCAUAAACUUACUUGUUGGCAUAAUACGUUUUGUGUACUUUUUCUUUUCUCUCUGAUUUUUUUUAUUAUUAUUAAAAAGAAAUUUAAAAUGUUUGCAUCUCUCAUAUUUACUGUGAUUGCAUGACUUGCUGCAUUGUUGUUUUCUUGUUGUAUGAUUGUCUUAUCCCAUUUCCAACCAAAUGAUGUCUGUAUUCUUUCUCCUCGUUUUCUUUUGGUGCAGGGUUUCGAUUCAAAGGAAGGGUUCUAUCCUUGUGGUUUGUUUUCAUAUUCGCGGCACUGGUUAUAUUCUUACAAGUGAUUUUUCUUACUCUAUGUGCUACUCGGGAUUCGGAAUGGAGCAUUGCAGAUGCCUGGUGGAUAAAGCUACUUGGAUUAAUGAAGUAGGAUUUCUCAAAUUUUGCUACAAUUUGUGAAUACUGGUAGUUAUAUAGAACAAUUAACUAAGGUGUUAAAUGGUAUAAAAAUGGAGAAGAUAAGGUUUCAAGCAAAAUAUAGGACAAUAUCUUUACUGCCUCAUUAUACCUCAGUAUAUCAACACAAAUUGUUGAUAACUGUUUAAUGUGUUAAAUAUGCAUUUUCAGGUUUCACUCAUGGAGAUCUCCAAAAGUCAUCUAUUUCCUGGUUGUAGAAUCAUUAGUGGGAUUCGUUGCUUUAACUGAGAUCAACAGGAACAAAUUUGGCUUUAUAGAAUAUGGAGGUUCUUUCUGUGGCUUCCAAGAUUCUUUCUGGGGUUAUAUAUCUUCAGUUUUUAAUCAAAUAGGUUCGUCCAAGUUGACUGUGUUUUCGUUCUUAUGUUCAGUAUUUGUCAGAGAGAAACAAAUUCUAGUCAUGCACUUUCUAUACAUUUUGUGUAUCUUCAAUUUUAUUUAUGAGUGAAAUGAGUAAUAUUCUUUCAAAAUUACAUGGUCAUCUCAUAAUAAUAUAGUUUCUCUGUCUUUUCUUUUUCCACAAAUGAAGGUUAUCAUGUUAGGUUAGCUUCUUGCGUCUCGCUGCCUGCUGUUCAGUUGGUCUCGGGGAUCAGCUAUCCUUCUUGGCUAUCUUUGCCAUUUUUCAUUUGCAGCUGUGUUGGUCUUGUUGAUUGGUCUCUAACAAGCAACUUUUUAGGUCUGUUCAGGUAUUUCAUCCUUUCAUAGUUACAGAUGUCAUCUUCUUUUAUAAAGAUAAUUGGAUAAAUUAAAGAACCUUGUCGCAUCAGAGCUUAUGUUCUUAUACUUGACUUGUAGGUGGUGGAAGCUGCUCUGGUCAUAUGCUGGUUUCGUCAUUAGCCUGCUUUAUAUUUAUCAGCUCCCUGUUGGGUUUCCAAAAAUGUUUGAAGUGAUUGCUGACUCGAUUGGUCUGUACAAAAUUUCUCUGGAUUCCGACUGGCAACAAAUAUGUUCUGGUACUUCCCUGAUGGUCUUCUAUUAUAUGGUAUGCUUUUGUCGUCUAAGUUAUCAACUCGACCAAAUUUGCCAUUUUGCUUAUGAUCAACAUAUCAGGGUCUGAUCUUUCAUUUAUGCAUUUCAUGUCAUUUUAACGCAUAUAAAUCCUAAGCGAAUAGUCUUGGAUCAAUAAUGUGCCUAACAUUUACUUUAAAAACUUAAAAUCCCUGACAUGAAAUCAUACCUCAAAGCUAAGCAUUUUUUAUGGGGUUCCAUAUGUUACACUAAGUAGAGGAGACAGUUUUUAUAUUUGAAUAUUUUUUGCUAUUGACUCGAUUGGUAUCUACCUUGGAGAAAAUGUCUCCGAUAGUGUAGUAUGACCUUUAGCAUGAAGACACAAUAAAUCUAUUUGGACUUUUUCUUCCAAUCUUGCCUAAACUCAACAUGAAUCGCGUAGCAAUUACUUACAGUUUCUGCUGCAAAUCAUAAAGAAGGCAAUGAUCCUUCUACUUGCAGAAGUAGUGACUGAUUGAUAUCUGUGCAGCUUUCUUGUGUGAAGCAUGAUUUAGAAGACAUGGAAUUCAUUAUGUCCAUGGGAGAAGGCAGCUUGACAGAACAACUUCUUCCCUCAAGAAAUUCUUUUUUUGUUCGUCAGCUAAGGUGCGCUGAUUAUGAGAAGUUAUCUACUGAUUGCUUCUUCUGAUGGAAAUCUCUAGUGCUAGACAUUUGAGCAACGGACUUGUUGUCUAUCUGCUCCAUCAGGGAAGCAAGCACAGCUCUUAUUCAUCUGAAUAUUAAUUAUCUGUUUUCUUGUCCGCAGGUCUGGUGUAAGGCAUACCAAUAUAUUAUUAAGGGGACCGAUUUUCAGGAUUUUUAGCAUCAACUGGUUUACUUAUGGCUACCCUGUACGUGUUGUAAAACAUGAUAAAUAAUCCUUUGAGGAUAGAACCAAAUAUCCCAAAUGUUAGUGGUCAUAUGUAUUUUCCUUGCUUAUAUAAUGAAGUUUCAGAUGUGAAUAUGGCAGAUAUCCUUGUUCGCUCUUUCAUAUUGGAGCUUCCACUUUGCAAGUAUCUGUGCAUUUGGAUUACUUGCAUAUGUUGGGUAUGUUAUGUAUGCUUUUCCGUCCGUGUUCCAUCUUCACCAUUUGAAUGGUCUGCUUCUUGUCUUCAUUCUCUUGUGGGCUGUGAGCACGUAUAUUUUCAAUGUGGCUUUUGCAUACGUGAACUGGAAACUUGGCAAGGUACUUUCUUGUAUUCUAGAUCUUCAAUUGGAGUUUGGAAGCUAUGGUUGUAAGCCAUUCAUGGAAGUUGUCAUAUAUCUUAAUCAGGAUAUGGAGAUCUGGGAGAUGGUUGGGUUGUGGCACUAUCCAAUACCCGGCUUCUUCCUUUUAGCACAGUUUUGUCUUGGGGUUCUUGUAGCUCUUGGUAAUCUAGUAAGCAAUUCCGUAUUUCUAUGCCUAUCAAAUGAGGAAGGGCGAUUCUCUACUGAGAGUGAGACUGAGGAAGGUAGACCUGCUUAUUCUGCCGUCAUCUUCAGAAAUUCCAAAAUAAUUUACAUCUGUUUCCUAUGUAAUUUCAGUGAAAGAAGGCGCAAAAGUAUUAGUAGUGGCUACAAUUGCUUGGGUGAUGCGCAAAUCUUCUCGGCCAAUAAUGCUGCUGCUGAUUUUCCUAAUCGCCACCAAACCUGGUUUCAUUCAUGCAGUUUAUAGUAUGUGCAAUUCUGACAGAUGAAUUUCGUAUUUCGUUUUUAACCUAAUAAAAUAGUGAAACCUUGCUUAAUAUUCUGAUUAGUUUCUUAUCUUUCUCUGUUUUCAGUGAUGUUCUUUGUUGGCUAUCUUUUGAGCCAUAGAAUUGAUAAAAGGAUGCGCCAAUCCCUUAUUCUUUUGUGUGAGGCUCAUUUUGCGAUUUUAUACAUUCUUCAGCUAAAUCUGGUCUCCACUAAACUGGAACAGAAAGGCUCCAUAAGUUUGGAAGUGCUAUCACAGCUAGGUUUGGAAUUCCUUCGGAUAAUUACUUUAUUUUUCUAUUUUCUUUCACGGAUCUUAUUUUUGUAUCUAUGCUGCACUUCUAGGUCUUGUUGAAAGCAACAGUCCCUGGAAUCUUCUGGAGAUAGCUCUGCUUGCAUGCUUUUGUGCCAUUCAUAACCAUGGAUUUGAUAUGUUGUUCUCGUUUUCUGCUAUUGUUCAGCACACGCCUUGUCUUCCUAUCGGAUUUAGCAUCCUGAAAGCCGGUUUAAACAAAUCGGUUCUUUUGACAGUUUAUACCAAUUCCGAUAUCAGAGACAGUUACGGGAGUCAUGACCACGGUACUAUACCCUUAUCCAAGGUUAAUUGUUGACAUUUCCCAUUUAGUUUUCGUAUUCGUGAAACUAUACCUAGAUUUUUAGCAUUUACAGAAAAUAUGCUUACCGAUAGGAGCUUAGAGACGUCAAGAUCAUAUUUAUGGUUGCUUUUCAAGUCUAUUGUGAAUAAUCUUAUCCAUUUGCUGAUUUCUGUCUUUCAGAGAGAAAGGUGGCGUUGUAUCUCAGUGCUAUCGGAAGGAAGUUCUUGUCCGUAUACAGAUCAUUUGGAACCUACAUUGCCUUUCUCACCAUCCUUAUAGCCGUGCACCUCGUGAGGCCAAAUUACAUAUCAUUCGGUUAUAUCUUCCUUCUCCUUAUCUGGAUCACGGGCAGACAGCUCGUGGAGCAGACAAAACGACGCCUCUGGUUUCCCCUCAAAAUAUAUGCUAUUGCAGUUUUUAUUUUCAUCUACUUGCUAGGCAUCUUCCCCACUUUUGAAUCAUGGAUGUCGACAAAGAUUGAUCUCUCUGUUUGCUUCGGUUACGAUACAGAAGCUUCUCUGUUAGACAAUCUUCAGGAGUCUCUGGCAAUUAUGAUCGUCAUGCAGCUUUACAGCUACGAAAGAAGAAAAAGCAAACACAUGAAAUCGGAAGAUCCUGCUCCGCUGCAGCCUGGGAUAUUGGGGUUCGUCAAACGGUUUCUGAUCUGGCACAGUCAGAAGAUAUUGUUCGUCACACUCUUUUAUUCAUCGAUAUCUCCGAUAAGUGCAUCCGGCUUUGUUUACCUUCUCGGUCUAGUUCUCUGCUCGGCAAUGCCUAAAGAGUCGAGAAUCCCAUCGAAAUCAUUCUUAGCUUACACAGGGUUAUUGGUGACGGUUGAGUAUAUAUUUCAGAUAUGGGGUAAACAAGCUAAUAUGUUUCCCGGGCAAAAGCACCACAAUUUGUCUGUUUUCCUCGGCUUAAUGGUUUAUGAACCGAAUUUUCAGGGCCUACAAGAAGGUUUGAGGGCGAAAGUGCUUGUGAUUGCUGCGUGUACGCUUCAGUAUAAUGUUUUCCAUUGGCUGGAAAGGAUGCCCAGUUUGCAUUUGUAUGUAGGUCAAUCAGAGGAGCCUUGCCCUUUGUUUGUUUCAGCAAGAGACGAUUUCACUGCCGUUUCAUCUUUGAAUGGGGAGAGCCAGCCCAUACCCGAGAGUGAGCUGUCCGAACAAAGGGCCGGGGAGGGCUAUUCAUGGUCGUCUCCUAGGCGUUGUGUCGAUAAUCAUUCUCCAAAUUUUUCUACCCUCAGAAGCACUCUCAGUGGCAGCUAUAGAAAAUAUUCACUUGAUCAAAUCUGGGAUACCAUUACAGAGAACCAUAAUUGGAAAAAGAAAAGGAUUGUUGCCUUGAGACAGGAGAGAUUCGAUAUGCAGAAGACAACACUGAAAGUUUAUUUGAAGUUUUGGAUUGAGAAUAUGUUCAACCUUUUUGGUCUCGAGAUCAAUAUGAUAGCGCUGCUACUCGCCAGUUUCGCUCUGUUAAACUCCAUAUCUAUGCUCUAUAUCGCGUGUAUUGCUAUCUGCAUUUUGUUGCCGCGUCCCACCAUUAGCAAGCUGUGGCCUAUAUUCGUUCUUCUCUCUGCCACCAUUCUUCUAGCAGAAUACUUGGCGAUGUGGAAGAACAUGGUGCCGUUUAGUGCACGUGUUUUGACCGAGAGCAGUGCACGUUGCCACGAUUGUUGGAAAAACUCACGCGUAUACUUCCACUACUGUGAAAAAUGUUGGCUGGGUAUGCACAUGUCUUAUUCUGUUAAUUUCUGCUGAUCAUGAAAUUUUAACAUGAUCAUGUUAAAUAAUUGCAUUAUCUUUGGCAGGGGUUAUUGUUGAUGAUCCUCGGAUGUUGAUCAGUUAUUUCGCUGUCUUCAUGCUGACGUGUUUCAAACUCCGGUCAGAUCAUUCGUUCAACUUCUCAUGGUCAUUCACGUACGAGCAGAUGGUUGCUCAGCGUAAGAAUGCUUUCGUUUGGCGAGACCUGUCGUUUGAGACCAAGAACAUGUGGACGUUCUUCGAUUAUCUGAGGGUUUACUGUUAUUGUCAUCUGUUGGAUCUAGUGCUUGCGUUGAUGUUGAUAACGGGAACCUUGGAAUACGACAUUCUACACCUCGGAUAUCUCGGAUUCGCUCUCAUUUUCUUCCGCAUGAGGCUCACUAUACUGAAAAAGAAAAACAAGAUCUUUAAAUUCCUGCGGGUUUACAAUUUCACUGUGAUUUUCCUCUCUCUGGCAUAUCAAUCUCCAUUUAUCGGUGGUUUCAAGUCGGGAAAGUGUCAAACCGUUGAUUAUGUGUAUGAGGUGAUAGGAUUUUACAAAUAUGAUUACGGUUUUCGGAUCACCUCGAGAUCUGUUUUGGUAGAGAUCAUCAUUUUCAUCCUCGUCUCAUGCCAAUCAUACAUGUUUUCUUCCUCGGAGUUUGAUUAUGUGUUCCGAUAUCUUGAGGCGGAGCAAAUUGGCGCGAUUGUGAGGGAGCAAGAGAAGAAGGCUGCUUGGAAGAACGAGCAGCUGCAACACAUCCGCAAAGCUGAGGAAAACAAACGCCAUCGCAACUUCCAAGUGGAGAAGAUGAAGUCCGAGAUGCUGAACCUACAGAUCCAACUCCACGGUAUGAAUCCCAUCACUGCUCGUGGCAGUGUCUCACCGGGUAGCGAAGUGGUGAAAAGGCGGAAAACUGCUUCCCUCAAUGUGCAUGACUUUGUUAAUCUUGAGAAACAGAACGCCAGUGCCGUUCCUGAUCCAGGCUUCCCGCUAAACGUGCAUGAAUCUACCAGGACUGUUCGAGUGGACAAUCCGUUAUCUGUAGACAUUUCAAAGAGCUUACUCGAUGCUUCUCUUGGUGAGACUACUGAGGCGGAGGAGUACACAGGCGACAACAUUCUUUACAGUUUAGACAGCUCGAGAAGAGGUAGAAACCAAUCCAUGGAAAACCCUCUGGCUUCUGCUGUGCAGUUAUUAGGCGAUGGUGUUUGCCAAGUGCAGUCAAUUGGAAAUCAAGCAGUCAGCAAUCUCAUAACCUUUUUGAACAUUUCGUCAGAAGAUCUAAGUGAAUCCUCAUACAUUGAAGAGAGACGAACACACGAUGCUAAACGCAGAAACUCGAGCUGUUCUUCAUCUAUGCAGUCUGAGAAGAGCAGAACUUCAGAGUCUGCAAGUCUGCAGAUUGGACUGAUUGUCUCUCAUAUAUGGUCGCGCAUGCAAUCUAAUAACGACGUUGUUUGUUACUGCUGUUUCAUUCUGGUUUUCCUUUGGAACUUCAGUCUGCUUUCCAUGGUAUACUUGGCUGGAUUGUUCCUAUAUGCUCUGUGUGUGAACACCGGGCCGAACUACAUGUUCUGGAUUAUCAUGCUAAUCUAUACCGAAUUCUACAUUCUGAUUCAGUAUCUGUAUCAGAUAAUGAUCCAGCAUUGUGGUUUCACCAUCCAGUCAGACCACCUACAUGAAUGGGGUUUCCCGACGAAGAAGAUAAAAUCAUCGUUUGUUAUCAGUUUGCUGCCUCUAUUUUUGGUGUAUCUGUUUACUCUCAUACAGUGCUCCAUAACAGCAAAAGAUGGUGAGUGGUUUUCGGUAGGAUUCAAGAAUUCCAGAGGGGGAUUACGCAACCAAAACGACAUUGAUUUCAGUUCCGACUGGAGUGAUAAAUUAGAUAAGGCUUUCGAAUCUAUAAAACAUGUGGUUGAAAUGGUCAUCGGUGGCUGUUCCAAAUACUGGAAAUCUUUGACGCAAGAAGCAGAAUCUCCUCCGUACUUCGUUCAGCUCUCUAUGGACGUCAAAUCAUGGCCUAAGGAUGGGAUUCAACCAGAGAGGAUCGAGUCUGGAAUAAAUCAGCUGCUACAGCUCGUGCAUGAGGAAUACUGUAAAAGUGAGAAGCCUAGUAAUUGCCUUUGUGCCAGCAAGGUUCAGAUUCAAAGCAUUGAAAAAAGCACUGAAGAUACCAACGUGACAUUAGCCGUUUUUGAGGUGGUCUACGCCUCACCACUUACUGAAUGUAAACCAGCAGAGCAGUUCAACUCUCUUACUCCAGCAGCCGAUGUAGCAAAGCAGAUCCUUAAAGCAAAACGCAUGGGGCUUGCUGAGAAAGUUGGCUUCCCGUAUCCUAUGAUCUCAGUUAUCGGAGGUGGUAAAAGAGAAGUUGAUCUUUAUGCAUACAUCUUCGGGGCUGAUCUGAUGGUCUUCUUUCUUGUUGCCAUGUUCUAUCAAUCUGUUAUAAAAAAUAAAAGUGAAAUUCUAGAGUAUUAUCAACUCGAAGAUCAGUUCCCAAAAGAGUUUGUAUUUAUUCUAAUGGUAAGCAAUGCCUUCUUCUGUCCUUUUUAUGUCUUUGUUUGGUUCCUCAAUGGCUUUGGUUCCUCUCGUCUCGUGCAGGUAAUCUUUUUCUUGAUUGUUGUUGAUCGCGUCAUAUACUUGUGUUCGUUUGCAACGGGGAAAGUCAUCUUCUACCUUUUCAACUUUAUUCUCUCCACGCGUUCAGUCUCUGAGUAUGCUUGGAAUAUAGACACUUCCCAGCAUAAUGCUGCUGGUUUUGCCCUUCGAGCAAUCUACCUUACAAAGGCAAUAUCUCUGGCAUUACAAGCUAUGCAAAUUCGAGAUGGUGUUCCUUAUAAAAGCACAUUGUAUCGCCAGUUCCUCACUAGUGAAGUUUCUCAUGUCAAUUAUCUAGGAUACAGGCUGUAUCGCGCUUUGCCUUUCCUGUAUGAACUGAGAUGCGUCCUAGAUUGGUCGUGCACGACUACAUCAUUGACAAUGUAUGACUGGUUGAAGGUGAGUUCUUCUAGCAUCUAUAUUUGUCUAUAGGGAAAAGUCUAUAGAAACUGAAAUUUUAUAUCGUUUUCAGUUGGAGGAUAUUAAUGCGAGUUUAUACCUUGUCAAGUGCGACAAUGUUCUAAACAGAGCUAACCAUAAACAAGGAGAGAAACAGACACAGAUGACGAAGUUUUGCAAUGGCAUCUGUUUGUUCUUGAUAUUAAUAUGCGUCAUUUGGGCUCCAAUGCUGGUAAGUAAUUCUUGGCUGUCUGCUGCUUCAGCAUAAAAGUACAGUUCUUCUGAAAAAGACGUAAAACAGGUUGUUAAGGAAAGGGACAUCCAAUCCAUACUUCUAGCAACAGUGCUUUGCUGGUGUCCUAAUCAAUGAUCAAAUGCUUUUUUUCUUUCUUUCAAGAAUUUAGUUUUUUUGGGUCAUCAAAGCCUACUAUUUCACAUUUAAAGACUCGUGUAAAAAAGAAUGCAUGGAGGGGUUAGAGAACUCUUUUGCUUCUUGUGUUGAAUCUAACAUUCAAUAACUAUUAUGCUUUAGGAAAUUUAUCUUGUGCUCUUCAAAAUCUUUGCUAUUUUAGUUCUGGACUUGUUUGACAAAUUUGGAACAUCAAAGAGUGUUUUGUAAAAUGAUAGUUUCGAGUCAAGAAGCAGUUUGUUGCUAUAUUUGAAUGCAUGUGCAUUCUUUUCAGUAUUGGAUUGCUUAAAAAUGUGAAUUUUUCUUAAAUGUAGAAUAGCUUACUCAGAAAGUUCUCUUGAAUCAGAAGAGAUUUCUUUUGCUAAUAACAGAAGUUCGUCGUUGUCUUAUAGAUGUACAGCAGUGGUAAUCCAACAAACAUAGCGAAUCCAAUCAACGAUGCCAGUUUCCAGUUCGACAUCAAGACAGCUGCUGGAAGACUGACCUUGUACCAGACAACUCUUUGUGAGAGACUAGGAUGGGAUGAGCUCAACAAAAAUGCCAAUUUUGAUCCCCAGCAUUACUUGGACUCUUACAAUCAAAACGACAUUCAGUUCAUUUGUUGCAAAGGUGAUGCGAGCACACUGUGGCACGUCCCUGAAGUCGUCCAGAGGCAGUUUAUCCGGUCUCUCAAUAGUAGCGACAUGGACAUGAAGUUUUCUUGGGUUCUUGCAAGGGACCGGCCAAAGGGCAAGGAAAAAGUGAAAUACGAAAGAAGUCUCGACCCAUCCGACCUUCCAAAACCGUCAGAUGUCGAGGGGGUCUUCAAUGGCUCCUUGAACAGCUUCAGGAUUUCCAAAAUUUAUCCGAGAUUUUUUAGGGUCACGGGCUCUGGAGAAGUCAGGCCUUUCGAGCAGGAGGUAUGCUUCCGAGUUUUGGUUUAUACUGUUUGAUGCAGAUAAGUUUUCUUGAAAGAUAUUCCGACUUUUGAAGCUAACUGAUGAUGUAUAUCAACAGGUGAGCGAUGUUACUGCAGACCUCGUCUUGCACCAUGGUAGCUCCCAAUGGUGGUCCUUCCAUGACGUCAACUCUUUGGACGCGUAUGGUUGCGGGAGCUUGUCGGGGCCAAUGGCUGUCGUUGUAUCGGAGGAAACCCCACGUAAGUACUCAACUUCCUACAAUGUAGAAACACUGUCCAAACAAACACCUUUUCUUGAUGCUUGUGUUAUAAAAACCAUAAACUUUCAGAGGGAAUUCUUGGUGAGACUCUGAGCAAAUUCAGCAUUUGGGGUCUCUACAUCACAUUUGUGCUAGCAGUGGGCCGCUUCAUCCGGUUACAAUGCUCGGACCUACGAAUGAGAAUACCCUUCGAGAACCUUCCUUCAUGCGACAGGUAAUAUAGUUACUAUACACGUAGAGAGGAAACUUUUUGAUCUAUAAAAAGAAUGUUUUGCUUGGCUCGUGCAGGCUAAUAGCCAUCUGUGAGGAUAUAUAUGCUGCAAGAGCAGAGGGCGAGCUUGGAGUCGAGGAGGUUCUGUAUUGGACACUCGUGAAGAUUUACAGGUCACCUCAUAUGUUGCUCGAGUAUACCAAGCCCGACUAGCGUCCUGCAGAUUAACGGCCCUUGUAUACACGCUGACAAAAUCUGACGAUAGGAUCGACUAACUUCCAGCUGAAGAUGCACAGGCUGAGCUCAAGUCCAGUUUCCAUUGCCAGUGUAGGUUUGUGAAGGCUUCUCGCUUAUGUCUUUUACUGCCAAAUAUGAGUCAUUUGCAUGCAGCCUUAUACAUCUCUUUCGUGUAAAAAGUGGCACAUCUGUGACAGAUAUCAUAUAAUGAGAUGCCCAUCAAAUAAAAUGAGAUCCUAAGGAAUCCAGGUUUAUAUGUAUAUUUUCUUUCAUAUUCUUUUUGCAUCUUUGCUUGUUAGUUUGUUGUUUUAAUCAAUCAAAUCGAGUCAAAAUUUGAGUAGCUUACCAGUUGAGUUUAAUUGACCAUGUAAAUUUUGUUCAGCAUUUGCAACCCACCGGAAUUUGCAGAGCUUUGAUACAUGAGUUGUAUCAUGUAAUCCAACAUUUUAUUGCAAAUGGCCAUCAGUUCAUAAUAUUGGGAGAUUGUUUAAGAAAUAAUCAAAAUUAUAAAAUCUUACACUUGCAUAAGUAUUUCGAGAGCGCAUUAUGUCAAAAAACAAAUUUAUACAUAGUCAAGGUCACUUAUAACAAGAAGAUACAAUAUUUGAAGCUAGUUCCAUUAUAAUAUUGUAACACUGUUAACAUUUGAAAAUCAAGGCUCAAAAUUUUGAUUAAGCUAAGUGCCAUGGAUCAACUUCCUCAAUCAAUGGUGACCUACUGUUUAUUGUUCUAAUCAAGAAUCUGGGAGAAAGAACUCGAGUUGAGAAUUUAAUUUCGCACAUGGAUCAAUUCUCUCUCAAACUAUGAACAAAGAAACUUGAUCCUAAAAGCAAACCACUGCAAAAAGAAAACAAAAUUGCAGCUUAACCAGAAAAAAGAAGUGCGUUGAUGUCAACCUAGGUUUCCUUGUUAAAUCGUACCUCAUCUCCUACAUCAGCUAGAACAUAUUCCUACAUAAUCUUUGGCCCUGUGAAACUGAAAUCAGCGAGUGAAACAUCAUUUUUGAACUUGGGAAACUUAUCCAAGAACUUGAGAACAUCAGUUGAGGCCCUCAAUCUCUUGCCGUUGGCGGCGUCAUAAUAGCAGUCCAUUUUGGAGAAAUCCUUCCGCAUUACCAACCUCCUCUUGAAUCCCGAAGGAGUUUUUGGAAUGCCGGGCUUGUGAAUGACCCAAGUCCGGGUGUCAUCACGCUCUAUAUCAGCUGGAUCAUCGCAGGAAACGCCAGGUUUCUUGCUGCAAACAAAAGGGUCUUUUGUGAAUUUGCUUCUGAUUUCUUCAAACUCUUCCUCAGUAGGAAUCAGCCUCCACUUGAAACAUUCCCCGCACUGCACACUCCAUAUGUCAACCAAAGUGAUACCGUUUGUUGAUUGCUGUCCCAACAAAACAUCAUCAACUCAAAGAAACAGGACUUUAGAAAAUUAAGAAAUCUGCAUAUGAUCAGAUAACAUGAGAUUGAAUUACAACCAAAAAAAGAUAGAUGAAAAAGAGACUCAACUAAGGGCAAAAAGUCUUAUGAAUUAUGAUCCCUUAAACUCAACAAACGAGUUAACAAAUUUUUUAGAGUAACAAGUAACAACCAUUUUUACUACAAUUAGCUAGCUCGAGGGCCAACGGAUAUUUGCAGAGGUCAGCCUGGUACUCCUCAUAGUUUGUUCAUGGUCCAUGCCGAAACCAUUGGAUCACAAGUUAGACCACCAAAACCCACUUGAAGUUCAAGCUUCAUAACUAGAUCACACAGGCUACUGAUUCAUACAUAGUAUACAGAAAAUUUAGCAUCCGAAUCUUGUAUAGGCAAGGUUCCACCACACUUGCUCCCUCUACAGAUUUUCUGCCCGAUAACUCCAGUCUUCCCAAUCAAAUGGCAGGUAGCCUCAAGCUCAGAUUCACCUCCUAAUACGUAGUAUGUUCCCCUCCACAUGCCGGGCAUCCGAGUAACGUGCAUUCCUACAUAAUGAUGUAAGAAUGUACAAUGCUCAGAUGCUGAGGGUGUGGAAAGGCAGUCCUGAGGCGUAUCCGAGCUCGGACCCGCUGUCUAAUCACACCGCCUGAAGACUGGAGUGAGCCAGCAAAGAAUCCCUACUAUGUAACAACUUUUCUCAUACGGGAUUGAGGCGUUACAAAAUGCAUUGGGUUGAUAGAUUUCAAAAUAAAUAAGCCACUGCCAGACAGCCAGAAGUUUAUGAAAAUUGAAACAAGAAUUCUUCGAAACUGACAAAACAGAGUACCCAUUUUCUCAAACAAGUAAAAACGAAUUGAAAACGGGAAAAAGAACUACAUGAAGGGAGGAAAACGCCUCUCACUCUCUCUCACACACACACCCAAGACAUCAGCCAACAAUUUCAGGAAAUAAAAGAACCAAGUAUUGCUAGCAUUUAAUCAAUUAUGUAGUUCUGCAGAGGAACAUGUUAUUGGGAUUUCUUUCACAACAAAAAUCGACCAAAAAAAAAUACCGAUCAAGAAAAAACAAGAAUGAAAAAUCAGACAAAAAGAUCAAACUGCAUGCAGGCAUAGAUUCGAGUUAAAUGGGGGUGGGGGGGAAGCAGUACCCUUUUAGAUUGUUGGCUCUUCUUCUCCAUAUCAGCGGCUUCAAAUUUCCCUGCUGCAGGCGGAGUCGCCUGAAGAGUAAAGACUUCUUAUAUACCUCGUUAUUUAUUUACUUUCAUAAAUUUGGAGGGUUAUUAGAGCCUAAUUAGCCAAAAUUUGGAGGUAGUUUGAUUUGUACAUGAAUUUUAAAAGGAGUUAGAAAAAUAUACAAUUUUUUAAUGUUAUAGUAAUUUUAUCGCAAAUUCAAAUUAUAGAUAUUUGAAUUUUAUAAAAAAAAUUUAUGAUUUACAAAUUUAGAGAUGUCUUAUACGAUAUAUUUUAGAGAUGUCUUAUACAAUGUCAUUUUUUAAAAUGUCUGAUGAGAACACGUCGAUAUUUUGACUUGUCACGUCAACUUUAAUUUGAGCAUAAAUUAAAUUUGUGGCAAAAUUACUACAAUAUUAAAAUUCAUGUACUUUUUACAAUUUUCAAAGUUCAUGGCAAAACUAAAUUACUCUCAAAGAUGGUGUAUUUAGGCGUUAAUAACCCUUAAAUUAAUAUCCCAAUAUUGAAAGUCCAAUAUAAUACUCUUCCCCUCCAACUAAACAUGACUCACUUCUUUUCGACACAAAAAUUAGGGAGAAAUUGUAAAUUGAAUAAAAAUGGAAGAGCACACAAGAGCAUCUCCAAUAGGGACUCUAUAAGAUGAUCCCCACCUUAGAGCCCCCUCUACAAUGCAUUGACUCUAUAAAAGUAUCCACAACUCCAACCCCUUAGCGUCGGAUCAAGCCGGCAGGGGUGGAGGCAUGCCGCGCUGGAGCGCCUCAUUGGCUUGUGCUGGGCGCUUCUGCUAGUGCAGGGCACGGAGGGCAAAAUUGUGGAGCACGUGUUGAGAAAUAAAAAUGAUUUAUUUAAAAUAAAAUAAAAAACGACCGUUUGAGCAAUUUUUUUUUAAUACCGUUGGGAGGCAACAACUCUUUCUUGCUUUUUAAUUUCUUUUUUCCCCUUCCCUUUCUCUAUAUAUACUGCAUCUUUUCCACACAAAUUUUCACAUCCAACACGAUUCUAUCUUCACAUCUCAAUUUAUUCUCUCAAUUUUUAUUUCAAAGUUUUUCUUAGUUAUUUAAGUUAUUGUAAUUUUUAUUUUAAUUAAUGUAAUGUUGAAUUUUAAAAUAGAAGAGUCAAAAGUGAAAAUGAGAUUAAAUGGAAAUAGAGAUUAUAGUGUUUCUUAUAGAGCCAAUGCACUGGAGAGGAGAGGCGCGCCUCUCCUUAGCGCCUCCCAGUGUGGAUGUUCUAAGGGCCUCUAUAAUCCUCAUUUCUAUUUUAUCAAAAGUUUACUCUUUAAUUUUAAAAUUAAACAUUUAAUUAAAAUAUAAAUUUAAAUAUUACAUUAAUUAAAAUAAAGUACAAUAAAAAAAUAUUACAAUAACUAAAAAUUAAGACCUUUUAAUGGAUCCUUGUUUUGCAUAAAUAAUAUAUAUAUAUAUAUAUAUAUAUAUAUAUAGUAGGUNAAUGGUGUUGUUUGGACCUGCGACAUCUCCAGUAUCAUCUAUUUUCCCCUUAUUUUCGUCGAUUUCUAGACAUUUUCAUCGAUUUCAAUGUUUGGCGGGGAGUUAUGCGACUUUGAGAUUUUAUUGGGUUUUUGGUGUUAGUGGAUGGAUAGGUGAAUUUGUUUUAGCUGUAAGCUCGUAAGUUAGUGGAUGAUCGGUGAAUUGUCUUUCUAGUUUGAUGAAUUUUAAAUUUUUUCUUUUUUUCUACAAAUAGUUAUUGGGUAAUCCAUAUGUUGUGAAUUAAUUCAUAUAAUUUGUUGGUUUAUUCGAUAUGACUUCAACUGAUAUUAUGCUAGUUAAUAAUCGAAAAAUUUUCGUCAUACCGUAUACCAUACCGUAAAUUGCGGUAUGAGAAUUUCCAUACCAUUGUCGUACCGUACUUUUCGGUAUACCGAAGAUCGGCAUACCGAAAAUUUCGGUAUGAGAAUUUUCAUACCGUUAUCGUACCGAUAGUGCGGUAUACCAUACCUUACGGUAUUACCGAAAUUAUUGUUAUAUCGUUUCAUGCCUAAAUUGCCAAACCAUUAAGAUAUACCGUAUAUUUGUACAUAUUGAAAUUUCAUUAAACAAAUACAAAUAACUUUCUAACAAUUAAACUCCACAUCUUCAACAAAGAAAAAAAUAAUUUAACCAUAAUAAUAUAUAUAUAUAUAUAUAUAUAUAUAUAUAUAAAAGACCUCUUCUUUUUAUAUUCUUUUUUUAGAAUAAGACCUCUUAUUUAAAUACAUAGUACCUUUUUAGUUUAAUUUUGAAUCUAACAGUUGCAGUUUUAUAUGUAGAACACAAUUUUUUUAUUAAUAAAUUAUAUAAAUAAAUUAAUUAAUUAAAAAAUCACACUACGAGGAGAAGACACUUAGAACCUUAAGCUUUAAACAUUAACCAGUUAUUGUUAAUAUGUUAUAGCACACGCACAAUUCUUGUUCUCUAAUUGCAAAUUUGCAAUGCUCCGUCAUAAUGUGAUGGUAACACUUUUUAUCAUACGUGGCAAAAGUAUGUGCUUGUAUUCGUGAAAUGGGCCGGUUUCACUACAACAAUCUAAUGAGGCCAAAUAUUAAUAGGCUUAAUUCAACAUCAAUGCAUGAUGGGCUGGGCCUGUCGAACAAAUUGAACUUGCAAAUCUAUAUAAUAUAAUAAAAGAUGAGUUAAUGUAAAUCUCUUUCCACCAAAAUUUUUCUCUCCUCAUUUUAUUUUUUUUUAUUUUGAUUCUCUUUCAAAAAUCAUAAACUUUAUUUUAUAAAAAAAUAUUCAUUAUGAAUUUUAAAUUAAAGAUGAUGACAAGAUCUUUAAUUUGAUGUAAAAAUUAUAAAAAAUAAAUUUAAAAUAAAUAAAUUAUUAUCGUUUAAAGUCAUAAAAUUAUGUCACCAAAGGGACACCAAGCGGUGCAACCUCCUGUGUGAACAGUGAGGUCCCGAGUUCAAAUCUCACUGCUUCCCCUCCCCAACUCCCCCAAGUCAAAAAAAAAAAGUCAUAAAAUUAUUCUUUUUUCUCUCUCCUCUCCCAUUUAUCAUCUUCUCUCUCAUAUCUUCUUUCUUUAAAUGUCAUGAUUCUUCAUUUUUCUUUUCUAUUUCAUUCCUUUUUUUAUUUUAUUUUUUUGUUAGAAAUUAUUUUCAAUAUUUUCUAUUUAUAUUUUUUCUGUUAUAAAAAUUUAAGGCAACUAAAAAGAUUAAACUUAUAUUUGUUCAUUUUUAUCAAUCAUAAAUAAUUAAUUCGUAGUUCAAAAAUUGAAUAUUCAAAUGUUUUCAGAUUCAUGUGUUUAUUGAGAUUAUGUUGUUCAUAACUUUGAUUUUUUUUAUUGAGAUUUAUGUUUGUAUUUGUUUAUAUAUAAAUUAUAUUUAAUAUAUGUAUAUAUUUAUUCAAAAGAUCAUUCAAUUUCAAUAUUGGUCGUGCAUCGCACGAGCGGACAUACUAGUGUCAUUUAAUUGCGACUUGGUGGAAAAAUUAAAUUUAAACAGGUAUGUGAAUUUAAUUUAAUUUAAUUUAAUUUUAUUAGGCGAAAGGUGUAUAAUAUCGAAAAGUCAAAAAGAAAAAUCCCACUUUUAAAUUAUUUCACUUUGACUAUCUCUAACAAACAUUACUAAAUUGUGUGCUGCUCCAUUAACCACUCGACAAAUAUAUUAGAAACCCAACACAAUAUUCCUUCUAAUAUAAAACUUUUUAAUUGAGUUUGUGAGCGCGCAUAUACAUAUAUUAACUUUUAUUUUUAUUUCGCCAAUGGGACAUAACUUAAAUGAUAAAGUUAGGGCAUUCAAAGUCUCUCCUUUGUGAGAGACAUUGGGUUCAAUUUUGUUUGUAUGCGGUGUAAUUUUCUCAUUUUUGUAUGGAUAAUGAUCUCGCAUGCGUAGGUUAUUUUUCCUUUUUUGUGUGAUGUAGAGAUCCCGCCUACGUGCAAUUGACUUAUUUAAUUAUAUAAUAAAUAUCUCUUAUAAUUCUCGAAAAAAUUAUUUUUAUUUCCUAAAUUUUAUUAGAUAAAGCCUCAAAUAACUAUAAUAAUGUGGUCUCAACAUAGCAAUAUGGAGGAAUAAUUGAUAUGUUAUCGUGGUCCAAUUGUGAUAAUAAUAGGCAUAGUCUACAUCACUAUAAUUAAAUUAUGAAGUGGCUAAUUUAUUAUGAAUAUGGGGAAUUAUGGCCAUCGAAAAAUAUGGGAAUAUUGUUGUGCCCAUCCACGGUCCACCACAUUAAUUAUGCCUUAGUACCAAAUCUAAGGAAUUUAACAUGAGCAUUUAAUUUAUCUCCCCAAAACAAAGAUGAGUAUUUAAUUUGUUGAUGAACAGUAAAAUCGAGGAGUAUUAUAUUUCCUUCUUUUGGGUGCAUUCUUCAAAAUUUUAAAAUUGCUAUGAUGAAAAAUUAUUUUCUAUAAAAAUUUAGUAUUCAAAUGCACCAUAUCAUGAAAUACAUAAUCUUUAAAUUAAUAAUACAUUUCCAAAUAAAUUUACAUUAUAACGAAAUUGCAUGCCCAUGAACGUUAUUUUAUGUCACUCAAAAUAAACGAACAAAAUAAUCAAGAUGUCACAUUCAGGAUACAGUUCAAUCUAAUAUGAUAAUUAGUUCACUCCUCCCUCACACAGCAGUAGUCGGAUAACCUAAUUUUACAUCAUAUAUUGUCAUGAAAUUAAAACAUACUCCACCACUAAUAAUAUUUCAUUUACCAUUAUUUUUCACUUUUUCACCACUCAUAAUACUUUAUUUACCCAUACUUUUCACAUUUUUCAUCUUUUCGUGUUAAAACUCGUACCCAUCGUUCCUAGUAAUUUAUUUGGGAGACGAAUGGAGUAUUUAAUACUCAUUUUCUUUCAACUAGCUUGAAUCAUAUUCCUUUUUUAGUCGCCUCAACUAUCUUUAGUUAUUUCCUUAUAUGGAAAAAAUUAGGAAAAAUAAGGAAUAUUAAUUAUUAAAUUCUACAACUAAUUAGGUUGUGCCCACUUAUUCCACCCUUUUGUCUCUUUCACAUCUAAUCACUUAUUCAUUUUAUUUCCAACACGCUUAAAGCACUGAACAUUAAUUUUUAAUACUCAGCUAAGUGUCACUUAGGUCUUAAGUAGUACUCCCUCCUAUUCUAAUUAUAUGUAGUUUUAUUAGUUUGCAUUGAUUUUAUAUUAUAAGUUAUUUUGGUAUAAUAUACCACAAUUAACCUCAUUUAUUAAGGAUAUAUUAGCUGAUACAAUUCAAUAAUAAGUUGAUCCAUUUUUAUAUCUAUCGUUUUAUUUUCUCAUUUUCUCGUAGGCUGUAUUUAAUUUUAAUUUAAUAAUAAUUAAUUAAAAUUAAAUUAGAUAAUUUAUUUAUUUAUUAAUAUAUGUGUUAAAGCUUAGAAAAACUUAUAAUUUGAAUAGGACGAUGAUGCAUGGAUCAUGGAGUACCAUUUUGUCUUUAAAAAAAGUACUGUAGCACAUUUUGGGCCCACCCAAUUGCAUUUAUUUCCAACUGCAGGUAUAUAUAUUAUUUGUUUAUACGUGGUCUACCUCAUGCUGAUUAGUGAUUGGUGAUUACAAACAUUUUGAUUGAAAUUGGAGCUGACAACUAAAAAUUGCAAUUGGAGCUGACAACUAAAUAUUUGGUUACUGAAUAAAGAACUAGCAUUUUCAUGUUAUGCAAUACACGUGAAAAUAUUUUUCAAUUUUUAUAUUUAUAUAAAAUUAAUACUAAUUCAAUUAUUAUACUUAUAAAUAUAAUAAAAUUUAAUUUUAACUGAAUAUAUUUGAAUUGAAUAUAGAAAAAAUAAAAAAUAAUUCACAAUUAUAAAAUUUGAUAUUAUGAAAAGCAAAAAAAAAGUUAAAAAAAGAAUGCUAAUAACAAAGAAUUAAAAUAGAUUUAUUCAAAAAAGAUAAGAGAAGAGAGAGAAAUUUAUAAAAUUUUAAUAUUUAAAUAAAUUUAAAUUUUAUAGUUUAAAUCAAAUAUUUACAUAAAAUAUAUCAAAUUAAAGUUUUUAUUGUGAUCUUUAAUUUGAUAUGCAUAUUAAAUAUUUUAUAAUUAAUCGAAUUUUACAUUUUUUGGAAAAAAGUAAAACAACAAAUACUAAGUUAAAAGAAAGGAAAAUAAAAAGAAAAAUAGAAUUUAAACAUAAACCUUCAAUUUUAUUAUAACUACAAAAUUACCAUUUAAUUUUGAAAUUGUUUUCAAAUUGGAAAUUGCCUUUUUAUUAUAGUAUAGAUUAGACCCCGCUUCAAAAUAAAAAAUAAAGAUAAAAUAAAAAUAAAAAGACGAAGAAGAAAAAAAGAAAAGAAAAGAAAAAAAUUUAGCCUCUUGUCGACCCGAUUCUCUGUAUGUAUCUAUUGUGGAUCAAAUGUUAUAGUAUCAAAUAUGAGAACUUAAAAUGAAUGAACAUCUCAUUUUAGAGCAUCCGCAUUGGGACCUCCUUGAUAGCCUACUUGAUAGUGUUUGUGUUAUUGAGUAGGUAGUGCUGCAUUGGGGUUCCUUGAUAGCCUCCUUGAUAAUAUUAGUUUUGAUUUUAUGUUUUUCAUUUAAACUAGUAUUUGUAUCCCGUGCAAUGCACAGAAAAAUAUUUUUUAUUUUAUAUAUUUAUAUAAAAAUUAAUACUAAUUCAAUUAUCAUACUCAUAAAUAUAAUAAAAAUUAAUUUUAAUUAAAUAUAUUUGAAUUGAAUAUUAAUAAUAAAAAAAUAAAAAAAUAAAAAAUAAUGUACAAUUAUAAAAUUUGAUAUUAUGAAAAGCAAAAAAAAAAGUUUAAAGAAUAAAAAAUAAUUUAAAAUACAUUUUUUUUUCAAAAAGAUGAGAGAGGAGAGAGAAAUUUAUAAAAUUUUAAUAUUUAAACAAAUUUAAUUUGUACAUUUUAACUCAAAUAUUUGUAUAAAAUAUAUCAAAUUAAAGCUCUUAUUGUGAUCUUUAAUUUGAUAUGCAUGUUAAAUAUUUUAUAAUUAAUCGAAUUUCACAAUUUUGGAAAUAAAUAAAACAACAAAUAAGAAGUUAAAGAAUUGGAAAAUAAAAAGAAAAAUAUAGUUUAAACAUAAACGUUCAAUUUUAUUAUAACUACAAAAUUGCCACUCAAUUUUGAAAUUGAUUUGAAAUUGAUUUCAAAUUGGAAACUGCUUUUUUAAUAUAGUAUAGAUUUUAUUGCAUAAUUUAAAUUGCAUAUUUAAAUACUGGAUUAAACAUAAAAUUUAAAAAACCUAUUUAAAACAUAAAAAAAUACAUAAAAAUUUAAAAAACCUAUUUAAAACAUAAAAAAAAUACAUAAAAAAUUAAAAAACCUAAAACAUCAUUAAAAUCACAUAAUUAAAAGCCUAGGAUAGACCACGACGCCUGAGCACGUCGGCGACCAUGGACGCGUGCAAUGCACGUUGUGCGUCCGUCAUGUUCGUCGUAUCCGUGUUCAGGAGCUGCAUAUCGAGCUCCCUCUCUCGGAUAUCGUUCCUCCGCUGGUACUGGGCGGUGAAUGCCCUCAUCUGCGCGUCGUUCCUAUCCAACCUCUCCACAAUUUCUGGUGGAGGAUCCGAGCUCGUAUGCGACGCUGCUGUCUUCCCUUUCCCUUUCUCCGCCGCCUUCGCCGCCUUCGCCGCCUUGUUGCCAAUGGGCCGAGCAGAAGAGAUCUCCUCGCCCGACGCCGAGGUGGUGAAGCCGCCCUCUUCCGUAGUCUUUGUCCUCUUGGAGGCAUGCACGUCUCCAAGGAGGUACAUCGACUUGAACUUGGGAUUGUUCCGGAGAACUCUCCACGCGUUCCAGAAAUUGAAGGAGGCAUUGGUUGGGCUUCUAGCCUUGAAGAUGGUUUGGGCCUUUUCACGAAUCAUAUCAUCCGAAUGACCGGACGGCCAAUUGUUGCGCGUCUCCACCCAAACAGCUUCCCAGAGACGCACAUCCGCGCUCACCCGGGACCAGUGGCCUUGAAGUUGCUUGAUGCCGAGGUCGACGCCGAGGAUGGGGUUCACACGUUCGCGGAUCCGGCCCCAAUAUGACUCUCCCUUCUGAUCCGUCCCACGGAUCGAGUCGUUGGUCUCCUCCGCCCAAAUUUGGACGAUGAGAUCCGUAUGCUGUGGAAGGUAAGUAUGACGGUAAACUUUUGGUUUGUCGUGCUUCAUUUUGGUGGCCUUUUCCUUCCUCCGGCCGCCUUUUUUUGGUGGGGAGACACUCUGCUGAGCACUCACCGGUUCCUCCUCGGGCGGGCUCUCCUCCAAGUUGAUUCCUCCCAUAUCGGGAUGAUAAUCGGAGGAGAGAUCAGGGCACCAAUUUGGAUCGUAGAAAGGGUUGUGUGGAUCCAUGACGGAGAAAAUUGUAGGAGAAGAAGAGGUGUGAAGAGAAGAAGGAAGAAGAAAGAAG